AGAGUUCUAAUGGAAUGUACUUUUUUUUUUUUUUUUUUUUUUUUUUUUUUUUUUUAGAGGUAACUUGGACCUGUUCUGUGAUACUGAACAGGUCACUAGCAGAGCCAGCAAUAGUGUUGAGUCCUUUUCGUUAUCAGUUGUGCCAACACUGGAAACAAAAGUCUGGGAUCUGCAUAUCAGUCUAUGUUCUUCUAAACACAUGCAAGAACUACAGUUAGGACAUUUCGCUCUGGAUGCUUCAGAAUGAAGGAUUUCUCCAUCAAGAUUAUAUCUCCAGAAGUUGUAUAAGCUGGAAACGUAUGACAGAGCCUGCCAUGCUCAUAUCAGCCCUCGCAGAAAAGCACCGAGUUCCUCCUCCUGUCAAAACACAGCGAGAUUAGUUAGAAUUGGCUGUGUGAAAACGCUUAAGGAACAAGAUCUUGGGCAAAUAAUUCAGUUUAUUUAUGUGAAUAUUCAUUUGGAUUUUUAAACCAAUUAAUGUUGAGUGAUUUGAAAUAAUUCUGUGUUUACUAUUCAUGUUUAUCUGGGGAAUCGAUUUCUCCCGUGCGAAUUCAGCUGCCUAAGCAGGAUCCAACUGUGAACUACAAAAUGUGUGUAUCAAAAUUCCCACUGCUCUUGUUAUCUAAACUAUUCACUGAGGAACAGAAUACCAUUUAAUUUCACAAAUGAUUGUAAAGGAUCUGUUUGUCAAGAUAAUUUCUGAAUUUCUUAAGCAAAUUAAUCUUAAAAACUCUAUUCCAUAAUUUUUCACUAUAAGAAUUUCAUCACAUUUAUGAAAUUCUUCCUUUCACAUUCUCACAUUUCCAGUAAGGAUCGUGAAUAUGCCAAGAAAAUCUUGCUGCUAAGGCCAUGGACAAGAACUUUGACCUCAGUCUUCCCUGUGUAACAUUGGUCUUUUCACUACAAACUUUGUUGUAGGCUUCAGGCCAGGACCAGUCUUUUAUUCUGUGUUUGUGAAGUGCAUAAUAGCACAAUUACUCUGUCCUCCACAUAAUUCUUGUUAUAACUUAAGGCAAAACCCCCACAUAUUAAACAGCGAAUAAACCAUUUUUUCAGAACUGGUAAAACCA
Molecule: long non-coding RNA, 1070 nt
Filed under: Athene cunicularia (burrowing owl)
Lineage: Eukaryota; Metazoa; Chordata; Aves; Strigiformes; Strigidae
Description: lncRNA (ENSACUG00000012868.1)
Source: RNAcentral